Molecule: transfer RNA, 68 nt
Filed under: Ovis aries (sheep)
Lineage: Eukaryota; Metazoa; Chordata; Mammalia; Artiodactyla; Bovidae
Rfam family: tRNA
About the family: Transfer RNA (tRNA) molecules are approximately 80 nucleotides in length. Their secondary structure includes four short double-helical elements and three loops (D, anti-codon, and T loops).
Source: Rfam by way of RNAcentral
CCUGGUGACUUAGUGGUAAAGAAUCUGCCUGAAAUGCAGGAGAUGCAGGUUCAAUCCCUGGGUCAGGA